CCUGCCAGUAGUCAUAUGCUUCGUUCAAGGGCUAAGCCAUGCAUGUCUCAGAGUACAUGGAUUUCCACAGUGGGUCUGUGAAUGGCUCCUUACAUCAGCAGUCAUCUCCAUGAUAGAGUGUGGAUGGUACUACUGCCAAGUACCCUUCUGGAAUAUCCACCAAAACCUAGUGGCUAAUACAUGGAUGGAACAGUCUGCUACGCCCUGGUUGUAUUGAUGGUUUACCAUUGGUACUUCCAGUAGUGGAUUGCACUCAGCUGCUUCUGAAGACCAGCGUCUGUAUCAAGACAGUGUAUCGAUGGAUGACUCAGGCUGAUCCUUUUGGACACCUGUGCUAGCAGAGUGGAAUCUUCACUGGUUCAGCAUUGCUUGAUCACACGAACUUCUGACCUAUCAGCUUGGAUUGUAGUGCAGUGGACUACAAUGGCAGUUACGGGUAACGGAGAAUCAGGGUUCGAUUCCGGAGAGGGAGCCUGAGAGACGGCUACCACUACCAAGGUGGGCAGCAGGCACGCAAAUUACCCAAUGUCAAUACAUUCGAUGAGGUAGCGACGAACUGCAGCAAUCUUGCUUGACCUCAGUGUUGAGUGAGACUUGUAAUGGAUGCAAUCCAAACACAGUGAUGAGUAUCAACUGGAGGGCAAGUCUGGUGCCAGCAGCUGCGGUAAUUCCAGCUCCAAGAGUGUAUACUAACAUUGCUGCGGUUAAAACACUUGUAGUCUGAUGCUGGGUACUGGUCUGUUGGAUGGCUGGUGGAUCACGAGUGUAUGGCUGUGAGUUGAUGUCUUCGGGCAUUGCUUGUGGUCUGUGCUUGUGUCUCUACUGGAACUCAACCUCUGACAGUAUGUUCCAUUACCCGCUGUCAAUGGUGGUAGACUUGCUCUGGCUCCAAGUCUCCUUCAGUGGAGAUCGAUGCGGUAUCAUUGCCUGACACACGUGUGCUUGACUUCUGGGACCUGGUCUCUGUACCAUGUAUACUUCCCUGGUUCACCACUGGAGCCUACCAUCGCUGUUACUGUGGAAAACUCAGUGUGCUUCAAGCAUCCUUACUGGAAUUGAAUGUCCGUCCAUGGAAUGACAAAGCAUCGACCUGAUGUGACUGUGGAGUUGUGCUGGUCUUGGUGUUCAUUGCAAGGAGAACCUGAGUCGUGAACAGUAGUUACACAGAGGUAACACACAGACUGGGUACAAAGCCCAGACUGGUUACUCUCUGCUUGUCUCUACUGUCUUCAUGGCUCGAUCGUACCUGAUGGGAUUGCUCAGGGUGAAGGAUACUACAGCGCUAGAGGUGAAAUUCUUAGACCGCUGUAUGAUCAACUGCAGCGAAGGCGCUUUGCAAGUGCUUGUUCGUCGAUCAAGAAUGAGAGUGUGGGGAGCGAAGAUGAUCAGACACCGUCGUAGUCCACAACUGUAAACCAUGCCAGCUUGGUGUUGAUGAUGCAAGUUCAACGUACUUCAUCAGCACUCUUCCCCAUGUCACGAGAAAUCCAAGCCUAUGGGUUCCGGGGGGAGUACUGUCGCAAGGCUGAAACUUAAAGGAAUUGACGGAAUGGCACCACAAGGCGUGGAGUAUGCGGCUUAAUUUGACUCAACACGGGAAAUGUUACCAGGUCAGGACGUUGCUGGGAUUGACAGAUUGAUAGCUCUUUCUUGAUCCUUCGGAUGGUGGUGCAUGGCCGCUCCUGAUUGGUGGAGUGAUUUGUCUGGUUGAUUCCGAUAACGAGUGAGAUAUCUACCUUCCACUAGCUACAGUCUCGCAAUCUGUAGAGCUGGAUGCUUGUUUGCUUCUACGGAGUAUCUACUUCAGUAACAAGUGCUUGUCUUCCACUCGAGAGUACUGGUCAAGCUUCUCUGAGGUUCUGUGUACGCUACCAAGUACAAGCAUGCUAGAGCCAACAGCAGGUCUGUGAUGCUCCCAGAUGUCCUGGGCCGCACGCGCACUACAUUGUUCCAGUGACUAUGCUGUUAUUCCCUUGUGGAAUCCUGCUUGGAAGUGAGUGGGGAACCCUUGAAGCCUGUGAACGUACUGGGGAUAGAUGCUUGCAACUGUCUGCCUUGAACGAGGAAUGCCUAGUAAGCCCAAGUCAUCAGCUUGGAUUGAUUGUGUCCCUGCCAUUUGUACACACCGCCCGUCGUUGCUACCGAUGACAGUAGGAUAGAGCCAUCAGGAGAUCCAAUCACACCUGUGGUUGAGUCGAACUCUUGCAAUGUCCUACUGUUAGAGGAAGCAAAAGUCGUAACAAGGUUGUGUAGGUGA
Molecule: ribosomal RNA, 2257 nt
Filed under: Phacus brachykentron
Lineage: Eukaryota; Euglenozoa; Euglenophyceae; Euglenales; Phacaceae
Description: SSU rRNA
Rfam family: Eukaryotic small subunit ribosomal RNA
Source: RNAcentral